This is a long non-coding RNA of Branchiostoma belcheri (Belcher's lancelet), 451 nucleotides long. RefSeq lists it as uncharacterized. The transcript is spliced from 3 exons. The record is from RefSeq and is a predicted model, not a curated record. Lineage: Eukaryota; Metazoa; Chordata; Leptocardii; Amphioxiformes; Branchiostomatidae.
UGGCUUGUGUGACGCACGCUGCUGUUACAAUUUUCUUUGAAACUUUUUGGCCUAUUUUCGGCUUUUACCGUUUUGUGUUAGGAAAAUUUCUACCGUAACGUAUGAAGUAAGUCUUGGGGAUGUCUCUGUGAUGAGUUUUUGCCGUUCUCUGGUUGUUUGAGGGACGAAAUGCGCAUUUCCUGACCUGGGCCGGAAUUUUGGACAAGAAAGGAAAAUGGCGACUGUAUGUAUAAGGACGACGUGGUGUUGAGAAGACUCCUCUUUAGAAGAUGUAUCGUGAGGGUGGUCCUGAUGUUCAUAUCGAAACCAGACCAGACGAGGGAGUUUGUAUAGAUAGGUGUGUCCUAAAUGUUCCUGUCCUUACUGGGAGAAACCUGUGGUGACGGGCAACUUCUGUCCAAAGAAGACAAGAUGAGGGUUCAGCAAUGUUGACUUGAAGACAGUAAAGAGU